GGGUGAGGACAACUGCUCGGGAGAGCAGACGCGAAGGAUUCUCUGGGGAAGAGGGAAGCGGGUGGCGUCUCCUAGGGGCCAGAACCAGGAAGGAUUCCAGAUGGGAGGCUGAGAACAGAUCCCAGAAAGAGACAGAAACUUCUGCGGCUUUCCUGGGAGCAAACUACCAGCACAAGCAGCUCAGGGGCUCCACCUUCUGUCCAGAUCAUGACACAGGAGAGACUGCGGGAGAGGCUGCUGCCAAGGACGUCACAGGCAGAUGGAAGAAAGCUUGGAGGCCCCUACUCCACCCCUGGCGCCGCGCCAAAUGGCCCUCCCCAACCUUCAGCCCCCAGGGGCCUCUGAAUUGGGAGCUCGGUUUAUCUCCGCCCAGCUUCUACCUAACUUGAUGGCCUCAGGGGGUGGAGCUUAUCGAUGCAGGCUCCUCCCCAGGACAAAUUGCCCAGCUGGUUUGUAAACAGUCUUUCACUGAGAACCACAUCCCAGCCUUCGUGGAUUUGAAAAUGGGAUCAGUGUUCUUCCAGUCUCCAGUGCUACCGCGAGAGGGCAGUAGGAUAGGUCUGGUCUCAGGAAAGAACACAUGAGGAACCCAAUCUGACCUUGUCUGCUUCUUUUAAAUUGAAAUGGUGAAAUCUACCUAUCCUUGCACCUCUCAAGGUGGGCUAAAAUGAAGAGAAAAUUACCUAAUUCCAUUAGUUUGGAACCCCUGACAACACUGAAUAUUGUUAUUCCCUUGUAAGAUCUUUUCUGGACUUUCAUAAGGGAUCUUCACAGAGGGCAGACUAGGCCUCAUGGUAUUAUAAGCCUUUGCAUAGCCUCAAGAAAUCACAAGCAACUUUUUUUCUAGGCUUGCCCAAAACGUCAGGAAGUAGUUAAGUACACUUUCUGAAGACAGGAAUUCCUAACCAAGAUGUAGAGGACCCUUUUUGAUUCAAUUUUAACAAAGAUAGUAUUCUUUGUCACUCUUUCUUGAAAAUUUAAUUCAUUAAACUCAGAUUAACCCCUGGAAAAAGUUAUUUCUAGAACAAAUUUUUCCCAAUAUGCCCUUCAAAAAAGGCCUAUUUUUAACCAAGCAGUAAUGUGCUACAUGGUAUGGGGGGGGAAAUCAAUUUGCAUUGAAUAAAAGGCCCAAAACUGAGGCCCUAAGAUCACACUAUCCACAAGAAACUCCUCACAAGAGGUAUGGUUGUCUAUCAGCAAGAGAAUGACUAUUUUUGAGGACUGAUUUCAAACAUACAUGGCCAACUUCACACUGAAACUGCUUUUUAUGGCCACUCUAUAAAAAUCUGUUGAAAACAGUGCUGGUGAUGUGAGACUCCAUACACCUGUAGCCCCAGCUGCUCAGAAGACAGGUGGGAGAUCUCUUGAGCCCUAGAGUUGGAGACAUGUCUCUAAAACUAAAAAUAUAUAACCCUUCACUGUUGAUGAUGUUGUCAGAACCAAGAGAAACAGACAAAUUCUGGGGGGGUGUACAUUUUAUUGGAAACUUUAAAUACUGUUCAGACAGAAUGUAUCUUCAAUCAAGGCUCUUGUGUAGCCUACACAGAAAAGUGAAG
Molecule: non-coding RNA, 1556 nt
Organism: Callithrix jacchus (white-tufted-ear marmoset)
Lineage: Eukaryota; Metazoa; Chordata; Mammalia; Primates; Cebidae
Source: RefSeq, a predicted model, not a curated record